This is a non-coding RNA of Paramuricea clavata, 229 nucleotides long. The record is from the annotation of a GenBank genome assembly. Lineage: Eukaryota; Metazoa; Cnidaria; Anthozoa; Malacalcyonacea; Plexauridae.
UAAAGCGUUCGACGAGGGCUGUUAGUUCAUACAAAACUGUAUGCAUGUAAUAAUUGUGAAUAGGCUACAAAGUAUUUACAUUAGUGCUUAUUAAUAUUUAGUUAUAUAGUUUGUAAAAAUUGUAGCCUGAAGCUGACUGGUAAGUAGGCUUCACAUUCUUUGUAAAUUUUAUAUUUUAUUGUAAUUGCACGGCCCAUUGAAAAUCAGCUGUAAUUGCUGAAUGAUUACC